Long non-coding RNA from Penaeus monodon (black tiger shrimp), 340 nucleotides. RefSeq lists it as uncharacterized. The transcript is spliced from 3 exons. The record is from RefSeq and is a predicted model, not a curated record. NCBI's taxonomy places the organism in Eukaryota, Metazoa, Arthropoda, Malacostraca, Decapoda, Penaeidae.
CAGCGGCAGCGAAACUAUCAGCUGACAAGAGGACUGGGAGAAGCACUCUGUAAACAUCAAGUGGGAAAAUGGGCACUUAGAGGCAUCUCCGCUCUCAUUAGAGUGUCUUUUCGAGUUAGGAGAAAAGCCAUGGGAUUGGCAGGAUGGUUGGUGCUGGCAGCAGCACUUCUUCUGGGCUCAUUCGGUAUCAAAGCAUGCCUAGCUUUAAUGCUUUCAGCUAUCAUAUUUUGUGGGGGAUGGCUGGUAGCAGUGCGAUGGUGCUGCUUAAUAGAGAGUGAGCAGAUGUGGCUUAACAUCCAUAGAUCACACCUCCCCUUACCCCCUUAUCAACAUGAAAAGG